Molecule: ribosomal RNA, 459 nt
Filed under: uncultured Glomus
Lineage: Eukaryota; Fungi; Glomeromycota; Glomeromycetes; Glomerales; Glomeraceae
Description: SSU rRNA
Rfam family: Eukaryotic small subunit ribosomal RNA
Source: RNAcentral
AGCAGCCGCGGUAAUUCCAGCUCCAAUAGCGUAUAUUAAAGUUGUUGCAGUUAAAAAGCUCGUAGUUGAAUUUCGGGGUUAGCAGGUCGGUCGUGCCAUCGGUAUGAACUGGUCUCGCUGAUCCCUCCCUCUUGACGAACUGUGAUGCCAUUAAUUUGGUGUCGCAGGGAAUCAGGACUGUUACUUUGAAAAAUUAGAGUGUUUAAAGCAGGCUCACGCUUGAAUACAUUAGCAUGGAAUAAUGAAAUAGGACGUUUGAUCCUAUUUUGUUGGUUUCUAGGAUUGACGUAAUGAUUAAUAGGGAUAGUUGGGGCAUUAGUAUUCAAUUGUCAGAGGUGAAAUUCUUGGAUUUAUUGAAGACUAACUACUGCGAAAGCAUUUUGCCAAGGAUAGUUUUCAUUAAUCAAGAACGAAAGUUAGGGGAUCGAAGACGAUCAGAUACCGUCGUAGUCUUAAACC